This 378-nucleotide ribosomal RNA is filed under the name uncultured Glomeromycotina. Its description in RNAcentral is "LSU rRNA". Lineage: Eukaryota; Fungi; Glomeromycota. The record is from RNAcentral.
UUGAAAGGGAAACGAUUGAAGUCAGUCGUACCAGCGGGAAAUCAACCUUUCGACUUGGGGGUUUUGGAGUUUUUUGAAGAGUGUCAAAACCUUUGAGAUUUCAAAAUAUUCGCUCUUUUGGUGUACUUUCUCGUGGGUAGGUUAACAUCGAUUUUGAUCAUCAUAAAAAGAUUGGAGGAAUGUAGCUUCGAUCUUGUAUUGAAGUGUUAUAGCCUUUGGUAAAUGUGAUGAUUAGGAUCGAGGAUUGCAACGAAUACCCUUUUGGGCUAUCCGCCUGAUCUCUGAUACGUGGCCUUGGUAUCGAAAGCGUGCUUAUGGUAUUGAGGUAUUACGGUCAAAAGGUUAGAACGGAUUACAUUCGUUAAGGAUGUUGACGUA